This 218-nucleotide unclassified non-coding RNA is filed under the name fungal sp. Its description in RNAcentral is "partial internal transcribed spacer region". The stretch from base 1 to 46 matches the Rfam family "Eukaryotic small subunit ribosomal RNA", at positions 1786 to 1831 of the family's 1831-position model. Lineage: Eukaryota; Fungi. The record is from RNAcentral.
AAGUCGUAACAAGGUUUCCGUAGGUGAACCUGCGGAAGGAUCAUUAUCGUAGGGCUUCGGCCCUGUCGAGAUAGAACCCUUGCCUUUUUGAGUACCUUUCGUUUCCUCGGCAGGCUCGCCUGCCAAUGGGGACCACAAAAAAACACUUUGCAGUACCUGUAAUAGUCUGAACAAACAAACAAAAAUCAAAACUUUCAACAACGGAUCUCUUGGUUCUG